RNAcentral lists this ribosomal RNA (710 nucleotides) under Microbacterium sp. 09WSH4-1. Its description in RNAcentral is "bacterial SSU rRNA". It matches the Rfam family "Bacterial small subunit ribosomal RNA", at positions 104 to 828 of the family's 1533-position model. RNAcentral also lists the same sequence under 1 other name. The record is from RNAcentral. Lineage: Bacteria; Bacillati; Actinomycetota; Actinomycetes; Micrococcales; Microbacteriaceae.
GGGUGAGUAACACGUGAGCAACCUGCCCUGGACUCUGGGAUAAGCGCUGGAAACGGCGUCUAAUACUGGAUAUGAGACGUGAUCGCAUGGUCGUGUUUGGAAAGAUUUUUCGGUCUGGGAUGGGCUCGCGGCCUAUCAGCUUGUUGGUGAGGUAAUGGCUCACCAAGGCGUCGACGGGUAGCCGGCCUGAGAGGGUGACCGGCCACACUGGGACUGAGACACGGCCCAGACUCCUACGGGAGGCAGCAGUGGGGAAUAUUGCACAAUGGGCGGAAGCCUGAUGCAGCAACGCCGCGUGAGGGAUGACGGCCUUCGGGUUGUAAACCUCUUUUAGCAGGGAAGAAGCGAAAGUGACGGUACCUGCAGAAAAAGCGCCGGCUAACUACGUGCCAGCAGCCGCGGUAAUACGUAGGGCGCAAGCGUUAUCCGGAAUUAUUGGGCGUAAAGAGCUCGUAGGCGGUUUGUCGCGUCUGCUGUGAAAUCCCGAGGCUCAACCUCGGGCCUGCAGUGGGUACGGGCAGACUAGAGUGCGGUAGGGGAGAUUGGAAUUCCUGGUGUAGCGGUGGAAUGCGCAGAUAUCAGGAGGAACACCGAUGGCGAAGGCAGAUCUCUGGGCCGUAACUGACGCUGAGGAGCGAAAGGGUGGGGAGCAAACAGGCUUAGAUACCCUGGUAGUCCACCCCGUAAACGUUGGGAACUAGUUGUGGGGA